RNAcentral lists this long non-coding RNA (282 nucleotides) under Lathyrus oleraceus (garden pea). Its description in RNAcentral is "Pisum sativum (pea) long non-coding RNA (PSAT_LNC010460)". Lineage: Eukaryota; Viridiplantae; Streptophyta; Magnoliopsida; Fabales; Fabaceae. The record is from RNAcentral.
GUACUUUAGCCUCCAAACCUUGUUGCACCUCUUGUCCAAAACUAGGAAGCUGUUUCUUUCAUCAGUAUGGAUUCCUUUGUGCCACAAGUCCUUUUUAACCUUCAUCUCCUUACCCUUUUUUCGUUUUCUUUUCUUUCUCUUGGUUUUUGGAAUAAAGAUGGGAGUCUUUCCAUUCAAGGUGGCUAAUGGCAAUGGUGAGAGUCGAGAGGGCCUUCCUGUAUCUUUCUCUGAUGUUGGUAUGUUAAUUUGCCUUCUCGCCUCUGUCCUGAUUAAGCCUACUUG